This 479-nucleotide ribosomal RNA is filed under the name uncultured bacterium. RNAcentral describes it as "partial 16S ribosomal RNA". It matches the Rfam family "Bacterial small subunit ribosomal RNA", at positions 28 to 507 of the family's 1533-position model. The record is from RNAcentral.
GAUGAACGCUGGCGGCGUGCUUAACACAUGCAAGUCGAACGAAGCACUUUAACCUGCUUCUUCGGAUGCAGGUUUUUGUGACUGAGUGGCGGACGGGUGAGUAACGCGUGGGUAACCUGCCUCAUACAGGGGGAUAACAGUUAGAAAUGACUGCUAAUACCGCAUAAGACCACAGAGCCGCAUGGCUCGGUGGGAAAAACUCCGGUGGUAUGAGAUGGACCCGCGUCUGAUUAGGUAGUUGGUGGGGUAACGGCCUACCAAGCCAACGAUCAGUAGCCGACCUGAGAGGGUGACCGGCCACAGUGGGACUGAGACACGGCCCAAACUCCUACGGGAGGCAGCAGUGGGGAAUAUUGCACAAUGGGGGAAACCCUGAUGCAGCGACGCCGCGUGAGCGAAGAAGUAUUUCGGUAUGUAAAGCUCUAUCAGCAGGGAAGAAAAUGACGGUACCUGACUAAGAAGCACCGGCUAAAUACGUG